This 329-nucleotide unclassified non-coding RNA is filed under the name plant metagenome. Its description in RNAcentral is "partial contains 5.8S ribosomal RNA, internal transcribed spacer 2, and large subunit ribosomal RNA". The stretch from base 1 to 105 matches the Rfam family "5.8S ribosomal RNA", at positions 50 to 154 of the family's 154-position model. The record is from RNAcentral.
GAAAUGCGAUAAGUAAUGUGAAUUGCAGAAUUCCGUGAAUCAUCGAAUCUUUGAACGCACAUUGCGCCCUCUGGUAUUCCGGGGGGCAUGCCUGUCCGAGCGUCAUUGCGAACCCCUCAAGCACGGCUUGUUUGAUGGGCCCUCCCGCGUCUUGGUCGUCAAGACGGGCCCGAAAUGCAGUGGCGGCUUCGCGGUUAUCCGAUCAGCCAGAGCGUAUGGGGACUUUCUCUCUGUCACACGCCCGCGGCGCGGACCGACGCCUGUCGACCUUUAUUCAUCUUUUUCUCGGUUGACCUCGGAUCAGGUAGGGAUACCCGCUGAACUUAAGC